GGUAGCAUAGCCAAGCAGCCUAAGGCACUGGAUUUAAGCUCCAGUCUCUGUGGGGACGUGGGUUUGAAUCCUACUGAUGUCA
Molecule: transfer RNA, 82 nt
Filed under: Loxodonta africana (African savanna elephant)
Lineage: Eukaryota; Metazoa; Chordata; Mammalia; Proboscidea; Elephantidae
Rfam family: tRNA
About the family: Transfer RNA (tRNA) molecules are approximately 80 nucleotides in length.
Source: Rfam by way of RNAcentral